Mya arenaria is the source of this 870-nucleotide long non-coding RNA. RefSeq lists it as uncharacterized. The transcript has 4 exons. Lineage: Eukaryota; Metazoa; Mollusca; Bivalvia; Myida; Myidae. The record is from RefSeq and is a predicted model, not a curated record.
CUUGCAGUUGCCCUUCGUGUAUAUAUUGUUAUGUUUCAACAGAAUGAAAUGAAGAAAAGCCGUCAAACUCAUAAUUAUAAGUUGGAUGUUUAUUUUUUGUGUACGGAACUAAUAUAAAAUAACAUUAUCUGGGUGCGGAAACUGUGCAUCCAGACCGGGGCUAGCCCGGAACCCUCGCUGACAGGGCGAGUGCUCUACCGACUGAGCUACCGGACCGCUUACAGACCUCCUCGCCAACUGUAUAAGUAUCGGUACCGUGACAAUACGAACCAGGCCUUGUUUGCGGCUAAAAUAUGCAAAUUAUAGUCAAACUGGGCACCCUGUCCCUCGUCUCCGGAAGAGAUUAAGUCGUCCGCGUCCACCAAGAUGGUUGCCGGAAUUAACUGGACAAUGAGGCUCUUGAGUGGAGGAUGGUCCGCGUUGGAGGCAGACCGCGGGCGCCUUCGCGGCAUGUACCCUUGAGGGAGAUGCAGAACAACAGCAUACGUACCGUUACUAUAGACGGGUUCAAGGUACCGUUUUGAGCCGGAGUUUACAUCAAAAUGCCACAAAAACUAUCCAUUUACGGAUUCUUUGAAAUGCGAUUUCCUUGUUUUUAAUGGAGGAGCUGAUUGGUCCCUAGGGUGAUCUCUUGGACUGAGAAUCAUAAAAAAAUGUGUUUUAGUACUGUAUGAUACACAGUAUAAAUAAGUAAUCAACUUUUGGUCGUUUAUUUUUAUACAUUAAAUAUUUUUAAAUUUCAUACAAUCUUUAUCAUUCACAAGUUAUGAAGGUUAGCAGAUUUUGUAUUGAGACAUAUGUAUGGAAACGAGCUCAGAUCUACAAGAAUUUUUCGAUAAAACAACUGUAUUCGUCGCAUGCAUGUUCAGA